AGUGCCUUCACCUUUUAGUCCUAGAAAGUUUCUUCCAGCCUAGAACUUCUGUGACUCCAGGCCUUGGUGACAACUCUGAGUAGUAGGUAGGGCUGGUGUCCCUGUUUUAAAGAUAGGAAACAGUAAGUAAGUGGUAGAGUUGGGCCAGUGUUCUCCUUCCUCUGUGGGGCCCAGGCUGAGCCCUGUUGGUCCUCAGCAUAGCACUUCUUACAGCACUUUGAAACUGGGCAAGCCCAUGGGCUCAGGAGCAGUCUCUGUCUUGUUCAUAGUUCUAUCGCUGAUGCUUAGUAGAUGCACAAAAAUAUGAGAGCUGAAAAGUUAAAAUUUGUAUUCUCAAUUUAGGAGUCUGCAUAUAGACAUCUAGUAUAGGGGUUGGUAAAAAUUAAGACAUUAUGGAGUGUCUACAAGGACCCAUGGUGGACAGAGUUGCCUGUCUCCACAUAGAUCCUUAUCCCAAGGGCUUCACCCACACUGGCCAGAUGCCCAGUGUUUUCUGUUUCCCCAUUAAACUCCAGUUUAUGACUCCAGUUUAAGAUAUUCUAUGAUGUCUAUAACUGCUUAAGCUGGCACGUAUUUUUACUCUUCAUGUUUAGGGGGAAAAAAAAGGCUGUACAAGAGAUAAGGCAGUGGUUCUCAGCUGGGGACAUUUGGCAAUGUCUGGAGAUAGUGUUGGUUGUCACAACUGGGGGCAGCAUCUAGUGGGUAGAGUCCAGGGAUGCUGCUGGCCAUGCUACAAUGUGCAGGACUGCCCGCACAACAAAGAACUCCCUGGCCCCAAGGGUUGACAGUCUUAAGGGUGAGACUAGGUGGGACCUGUUGUGUAUAAGGAGGACAGAGAGCAUCUGGGAGUCAUAGUGAGCCAAUGGUUCAUAAAUAGUGGUGUAGAAUUACAGGAAUGAAGCCACAUUGCAAUCCAUGGAGAUAUGCACUUGAUCACUGUUUAUCUGCUGAUUGCCAUGAUUUGGGCCCUAAAGCUGGAGUAGGUGUUGGAAAAUGUAGAAAGGCUGCAGUUUACUGAAGGGUUGAGGCCAGCAGUCAAGGCCAUCGGAGGAUUGGGGCCAUUUGGCUCACAGAGUGAGGUGGGGA
Molecule: long non-coding RNA, 1086 nt
Filed under: Homo sapiens (human)
Lineage: Eukaryota; Metazoa; Chordata; Mammalia; Primates; Hominidae
Description: HSALNT0106544
Source: RNAcentral